Molecule: ribosomal RNA, 468 nt
Filed under: uncultured bacterium
Lineage: Bacteria
Description: partial 16S ribosomal RNA
Rfam family: Bacterial small subunit ribosomal RNA
Source: RNAcentral
GACGAACGCUGGCGGCGUGCUUAACACAUGCAAGUCGAACGGAAAGACCCUGCUUUUGUGGGGUUCUCGAGUGGCGAACGGGUGAGUAACACAUGAGUAACCUGCCCUUGAAUUUGGGAUAAUUUCACGAAACUGGGGCUAAUACCGGAUAGGAGCUCCUGCUGCGUGGUGUGGGUUGGAAAGUUUCGGCGGUUGGGGAUGGACUCGCGGCUUAUCAGCUUGUUGGUGGGGUAGUUGCUUACCAAGCCUUUGAAGGCUAGCCGGCAUGAGAGGGUGACCGGCCACAUUGGUACUGAGAUACGGCCCAGACUCCUACGGGAGGCAGCAGGGGGGAAUAUUGCACAAUGGGCGGAAGCCUGAUGCAGCAACGCCGCGUGCGUGAUGACGGCCUUCGGGGUGUAAACCGCUUUCGCCUGUGACGAAGAGGGAUUGACGGUAAUGGGUAAAGAAGCAACGGCUAACUACGUG